This 29744-nucleotide long non-coding RNA is filed under the name Arachis ipaensis. Its description in RNAcentral is "long non-coding RNA (AIPA_LNC000835)". Lineage: Eukaryota; Viridiplantae; Streptophyta; Magnoliopsida; Fabales; Fabaceae. The record is from RNAcentral.
UACUAAAGAAUCUGAAGCUUCCCAGGAUAAUCUAGUUUUGCAAGAAAAUGCAUUGAACGAAAUGGAAGAAACCCUUCCUUCAGCAACUGAGGAUAGAGUUGCAGUGUGCUCACCUGAGAAGGAUAAUUUAACUGCUUGCUCAGAAGCACCCCAGGAAUCCGAAAAGUGUGAAAAUGUGCAAGGAUCGGUCUGAGGAAGAACCUGGCCAGUUUCUGUGGCUGAAGAAGCCAAAAAAGAUUGAAACUAAUUGUUGGCCAUGGGGCAAGUCUAUAAAAAAAAUUACCCAUCCUUAAAAACAACGUCGAUAUGCAACUUAACGUGUCAGAUCAGUUUUUGUUAAUGCUGUGAUCGCCGUGAAUACCAAAAAAAAAAAUCACCCAUCCUUAAAAACGACGUCGAUAUGUAACUUAACAUGUCAGAUCAGCUUUUGUUAAUGCUGUGAUCGCUGUGAAUACCAAAAAAAAAAAAAUUGCUGUGGUUGCCGUCAUUAGAAAUAACAAAAUGACUAACGUGUCUAACUGAAAACCUUUUAAGCACAGAUUUGAUUAAAAAAAAUUGGGAUAAAUUUGAAAAAUGAGUGAUAUUUUAGAGAUGAAUUUAACUAUUUACUAUACAGGGGAAGGAUGAGUGAAACGCACACACAUGGGAGAGGGUAGGGUAAAACACAGAAAGAAAAAUUGCACCAAGGGCUGAUAAGAUGGUUCAACUUGAUUUUGGGAGUUGCAUAAACUGAACCAUUUGAUUUAUUUUUUACAAAAUUAAGAAAAUGUAUAAUAUUAAAAUUUGACUUUUCAAUUUUUAUUUCUUAUAAAAUUAAAUAAUUUAUCACAUCGAAAUCGGACACUCAGGAUUUUUCGUUUUACAAAAUUUAAAGGGUAAAGUACUAAAUUGGUCCCCUAGGUUUGGGCGUAAUUCUGUUUUGGUCCUUAAGAUUUAAAGUGUUCUAUUUGAAUCCAAAACGUUUUCAUUUAGCAUCAAUUUAGUCCCACAGUGAGGUCAAAAUUAAAUAAUUAACAAAAUGUCCUACAUAACAACAGUUCAAGAACAAAAUCGAUAAUUUGGAGAACAAGUACAAGCUCCAGAGGCAUAAAAUCAACCAUUGAUACAUCAAUACAUUUAUUUAUUAUUUUUUAUAAUAUAAAUAAAAUAUUUUCUAUAAAACUAAAGAAAAUGAUAAAUAAAUGUAUUGAUGCAUCAAUGGUUGAUUUUGUGCCUCUAGAGCUUGUACUUGUUCUCCAGAUUAUCGAUUUUGUUCUUGAACUGUUGUUAUGUAGGACAUUUUGUUAAUUAUUUAAUUUUGACCUCACUGUGGGACUAAAUUGAUGCUAAAUAAAAACGUUUUGGAUUCAAAUAGAACACUUUAAACCUUAAGGACCAAAACAGAAUUACGCCCAAACCUAGGGGACCAAUUUAGUACUUUACCCAAAUUUAAAAUGUUUAAAAUUACAAAAUCGAAUAUCAAUUUGUUGAAUUCUGAAUUAAAAAAAUUGCAAAGCGCACGUCCAAUUUUUAUUUUUGCUUAACAAAAUUACAUAUUUUGGGGAAACGCCAAAAAUGGCAAUAUAUAUGAAAAUAACACUUUCUGAACCUUUAUUAAAAGUUUUUAACUGUGUCUAUCCGGCAAAGUUGUCAAUAAAGGGGGGUUUAAUACUCUAUUAUGUAAUAUUUUUCACAUUUUGUGUCAAUUAAUUUUUUAUUUAUAAAAUAAAAAACAUUUUUAUGAAGUUAAUUAAAAUAAAAAGAAAUUUAAUAAUUUAAUAAUCUAUAAAAAAAUAAAAAAACGGAAUUAAUUAAUUUGGGAUUUAUAUGCCUUUAAAAUGGAUUAAGUAUAAACUUUUAGUUAUUACAGAAAAAAUUGGCAAUACCUGCCAAAUCAUCCCAUCAAAACCAAUUGUCACUUAAUUUUAAUCAAUCUUUAUUAACAGUAGAAAAAAAUGUUGUCUACUAUUAAUUCAUCUAAAAGUUAGUUUUAUAUGGAUUUUCAUAUUAAUUCAUUGUUUUAUUUUUUAUUGUUCUAAGAGCUGAAGAUGAAGAUGUUACAUGCAAUUCGGUUUAUUGCAAAGAGAAACCUCUUGUAAAAUGCAUUUGGAUUUUGUUGACAACCUUUUCUACUUUUCUUAUAUGUUGCGAGAUACAUUUCACAAGAUUAAUUGAGAGAAAUUUGAGAUGAUAUAUUUAUUUAAUAAAGUUCCAAGCAAAAUACUUAACUAAGUCUAAUCAAGUUGUUAUAACAAAAUUUUAAAUCACGCACCUUCUCCUUUUCAUUCUUCUUCUUCUUUUAAAUUUGCGCACGCAGGUUCUUCUUCUUCUUCUCCCCCAAUAUUGCGUCUUCUUCUUUUUCAUUAUCGUCAUCACCAAUAACAAUAACAUUUUGCAAACAUUUUUAUUAGUUUUGAUUUUUUCUAUGCCAUCGUUAAAAAUUUCGGUCCAUUUUUUAAUUUAUUUCGGUUUAUUUGUUUGUUAAUUGAGGUUUACUCGAUGUUGCUGAUAGAUAUUUGACCAAAUUUUUUAUUCCUUAAGUAAUUUUGGUUCAUUUCUUAAUUUAAUUGAGGUUUAUUUAGAUCCAAAAAUGAAUUCGACGUAUUUUUGUUAAUGAUUGUGUCUUUUUGAUUGUUUGUUCAAAUCUGAACUAAUUUCGGUUUAUUUGUGUGCUAAUUGAGGUUCACUUGAUGCUGUUGAUAAGUAUUGACUAAAUUUUUUAUUUCUUAAGUAAUUUUAGUUCAUUUCUUAGUUUAAUUGAGGUUCAUUUGGAUCCAUAAAUGAAUUUGAUGUGUUUUUGUUGAUGAUUGAGUUUUUUUGACAGCUUGUUCAAAUCUGAACUAAUUGAAUAAAAUAGAGUGAAAUCUAAUGCAAUUUAAUAAAGUGAUAAUGAAUAAUUUUAUUCUUUAUUAAAAAUUUGGUCAAUACUUAUCAGCACUUCAGCGGCAUCAAGUGAACAUCAAUUAACACAAACACGUCAAAUUCAUUUUUGGAUCUAAAUGAACUUCAAAUAAACUAAGAAAUAAACCAAAAUUACUUAAAAAAUAAAAAAUUUGGUCAAUACUUAUCAGCAUUAUCAGGUGAACUUCAAUUAACACAAAUGAACCCAAAUUAGUUCAGUUUUGAACAAGCAGUCAAAAAGAAUCAAUCAUCAACAAAAACACAUACAAUUUAUUUCUGGAUCCAAAUGAAUCUCAAUUAAACUAAGAAAUAAACUGAAAUUACUUAAGGAAUAAAAAAUUUGGUCAAUACUUAUCACCAGCAUCAAGUGAACCUCAAUUAAUUCACAAAUGGACUGAAAUUAGUUCAAUUUUGAACUAGUCAAAAAGACUCAAUUAUCAACAAAAUACAUCGAAUUUAUUUCUGGUUCUAAAUGAACCUCAAUUAAAUGGAGGAAAAGAAAAAACGUAGUAACAACAGUAGCAAUAAAAGAAUGAUGAUUGAGAGAAGAAGAAGACACGCGAAGAAGAAGGAGGAAGACGAAGAAGAAGAAGGAGGAAUGAAAAGACGAAGAAGGAGGAAAGCGAAGAAGAAGAAGGAAGAACGCGAAGAAGAAAGAACGCGAAGACAAAGAAGGAGGAUAUGUUUUGCGUUAUUGAAAAGCGUGUGUGUACACGCUGGUGUGAUGGAAGUUAUUUUUGUUGAGUUUGGGCCAACCUUAGUUGGACUUGGUUACCAAAAACACUUAGAUGUGUAGUGGGAAUAGAUCCUCUCAAUUGUUAAAAAAAAAAAUUGAAGGAGUAAAGUGUGAUCUCUAACCAUUCUUUGCUCUCUCUCAUAUUUUUUUAGUCCCACUUAUAAAAUUAAUAGUGAAAGAUCACAUUUUACUCUCUUAAUUGUUAAAAAAAAUUAAGAGGAUCCAUUUCCAUGUAUACUUAGCAAUUAAUAUUUUUUUUAGUUAAAAUAUCUUUUUUUACUUCAAUUAUGGCAAUUAAUCAAUAAUUUUCGAUAGAUGUNNNNNNNNNNNNNNNNNNNNNNNNNNNNNNNNNNNNNNNNNNNNNNNNNNNNNNNNNNNAUAUUAUAAAAGAUUUAUUUAUUUAGUACUACAAAUGGUUGGAAAUUAGGUUUAGUAUUUUCAAGAACAAUUUUUUUUUGAAAGAGCUCAACACGCAAGUGGAACAAAGUAAGACUAAGAUAAUAAUAAAACAAGAAAGGCAUAACAAUUCCUAUGUCAUCUCCGGCAUAGCCAUCAACAACAUGAGUUAUUUACAACACCACUCCGUAGCACAUGAAAAUGAUUGCUGCACACAGUCGCCAAUUUCUGUUAUCUUGCUGUGAAAAAUGGCAUCAUUUCAGCGUAACCAAAUAUUCCAUAUAACUGAAAAGUAUCCAAGUAGCCAAUAGUUGCGCCUCUCUUUUCUCAUCUGCACUGAUCUCCAACUCUCAAAGUGGUCUUUCAAGGUACCCGGGACAACCCACGUCUGUCCAAACGCCGAGAUCCAAGCACACCACAGCUGCCAAGAGUACUCACACGUAAUAAAUAAAUGUUGUAUAUUUUCAACUUCUUUCUUACACAGCACGCACAAAUUAUCAUUCUGUUGUAGUAUCCCCAACCUACUUAGUCGGUCCUUUGUAUUGACCCGACCUACCAAAACAAACCAAGCAAAUAACUCCACUCGAGGUGGAACUAGGCCUUUUUCAGAUCUCGUUUGUGAACCUGUAUCUCAGAAGCUCCUCGUCCAAAGUCUCUUCCUGUAACACCUGCACAAAUGAGUUAGUAGAAUAAAUGCCUUCCUUAUCAAAUUUUCAGACCACUCUAUCUUGCACAUCUGCUAUCAGUCUAACAGAUUGCAAGGCAUGAAGCAGUUGGUUCAAUGUGUCUGUCUUCCAUUGUCGUAGUUCUCUUCUCCAUUGAAAGUGCCAGACCCACUCUAUCCCAUCCCAGAACCCACACUCCCCAAUAACUAAUCCUUUUUGGUUUGAAAUCAAGAAGAGUCUCGGAAAGGAGUCAUUUAGCUUCCCCACUUGCAGCCAUGUAUCCUCCCAAAAUCUGGUGGAUCUUCCAUCUCCUACUUUCAUAGCAAGGCCAUCAAUCAUCUUCUGCCUGACAUGUUGCUCCCUUAUUUGUACUUGACAUAUGUCUCUCCACGGUCCUCCUUUUUUCAGCAAUGUCUAAGUUGACAACAUGUGAUUUGGGUUCAAACUAUUGCAGGAGCAUACAAUCUUUUUCCAUAGGGGGCAGUUCUCCUUAGAGAACCGCCACCACCAUUUAAAUAGUAAAGCCGUAUUCCGGACCACCGCAUCACCCACCCCCAAUCUUCCUAACUUCUUUGGUGCCUGGAUCAGCUCCCACUUCACAAGGGCCAUACCAGGUCGACCAUCAUCCUUCCCCCAAAAGAACCUCAUCUGCAAGGAUAUAAUUCUUCGUGCAACCGCAUUAGGCAUCUUGUACAAACUCAAAUAAUAAAUAGGUAGGCUGUUAAUUACCGAUUUAAUAAGUAUCAGCUUACCAGCCUUGCUAAGGAUCUUUGCUUUCCACAAGCUGAGUUUCUUUUCCACUUUAUCUAGAACCGGCUUUCAAGUUUUUACCAACCGCGGAUUCGCUCAUAGGCUAAUGCCCAGGUACCUCACCGGUAGAGCUGCCUUUUGACAACCUAGUAGCUGGCACAUCCGAUUGACCCACUCCGAGCUGCAGUUCACUGGUACCAAGUUAGACUUCUCAAAGUUAAUACUCAAUCCAGACAUCAUUUCAAAACACCUCAGGAGCCUCUUAUAGUUUCUCAGUGUCUCCUCCUCCGGUGGGCUGAACAAUAUAGUGUCAUCAGCAAAUUGUAAGUGUGACAACUCUAUAUUGUCCCUACCUACUAAGAGUGGAGAUAUCCGACCAUUUCUAACUGCCUCCCCGAUCAUCCUGUUAAGCACAUCCACCACUAGAACAAACAAAAACGGCGAUAAAGGGUCACCUUGACGCAGUCUCCUCUCCAUCUUGAAUGGUUUCGAUGGUGACCCAUUCACCAGAAUAGAGAUAGAAGCCGAUGUAACACACUCCCUAAUCCACGCCCUCCAUGUUCUUCCAAAGCCCAUCUUCUCCAGCACGGUAUCAACAAAGCACCAUUUGACUCUGUCAUAGGCUUUUUGGAAGUCGAGUUUAAUAAUCGCUGAUGCCUUCUUCUUCAGUUUUAACCAUUGCACAGUUUCACAUGCAAUUAACGCUCCAUCAUGUAUCUUUCUCCCCUUCACAAAGGCACUCUGUGAUUCUCCAACUAAGCCUGGCAUAACACUCCUCAUCCUACGUGUCAACAAUUUAGAGAUUACCUUAUAGACACAGCCGACCAUACUAAUAGGUCUGAGAUCUUUUAUCUCCUUAGCCCCAACGAAUUUCGGAGCCAGCGCUACCCAUGUGAGAUUAGCGUCUGCUGGUAAUUUUGCUGUCACAAAGAAAUCCAUCACAGCUGCAGUGAAUUCUGUUCCAAUCUCAUUCCAACACUUUUUUAUAAAAUACAUGUUGUAUCCAUCACUCCCUGGAGCCUUAGAAGAUUCACAAUCCCUAACUGCCUCCUUCACUUCCUCUACUGACGAUAGUGCCUCUAAGGUUUCCGCUUCCUCCCUCUCUAAACGAUUAACUAAUCCAUUUCUAAAAGUCACCCUUGGGGAUGCUUCCUGGUGGUACAGGCGUUUGUAAAAGUCCCGAACCGCAAUCUUGAUUCUUGCUUGAUUCCUCACUAUCCUCCCAUUAAGCACCAACGACUCAAUCAUGUUAUUCCUUCUUCUCGCCGAAGCUAUAUUAUGGAAGUACCUUGUGUUCCGAUCCAUCUAAUUGGCGUGCCGAGAUCUUGACAUUUGCUUCCAAUGCAUCUCCUGUCUUAGAUACCACUUUUCGCAACACCUCACUAAUGCCUUUCUCCUAGCAUCUACCAUCAUACCGUCCACUACUAACCAUAUCAUCCACCUUUCUGAUUUCUUCCUCAAGCUUCUUAAUCCGCUCAGCCAUAUCCCCAAAAUGCUCCUUGUGCCAUCUUCAUAGUGGUUCUGACUGUACUUUCAUUUUCUGUAAGAAUUGUACGUCGCCUAGUUCCUUCCAUUCUUCCUUGACCAUUCUCAAGAACCCUUCAUGAGUGAACCACGAGUUCAAGCUACGGAACAGUCUUGGGCCAUCAACUCUUCUGUUGUCUUCCAUAAUCAAAGGGCAGUGAUCCGAUAAGCCUCUCGGGCCACUCCUUAGACGCGUCUCUGGGUACACAUCAAGCCACCCCAAGGAGACUAGGCUCCUAUCGAUGCGACUGCAUGACUGUCCUCUAAACCAUGUAUACUUUCAGUCAUUCAAUGCCAAAUCAAUCAACUCCAUAUCAUUUAUCCAUGUCCUAAACUUUGCCACAGACGCUGAUAAUGUAGUCGCUCAUUUCCUUUCUUCUAAAUGCAAAAUUUCAUUAAAAUCUCCCAAAAUACAAAGCGGCACCUGACACAAUCCUGCAAUAUAACUCAAUUCUUUUAACAUGGAGAUCUUCUCAGCUCUAUCAUGCGGUCCAUACACUAAGCAAAUAGCACAAUGAAAGUUAUCUUUUACCACAACUCCUUCUAUACACAUCCAUCUGUCCCCUUUAUAGCAGUUAUACAGUUUAAAGGCCGCUUCAUCCCACAUUAGCAAUAACCCUCUAGAAGCCCCAACAUAACUUACUGACUCCCAACAUGUUCUGUCACUUCCCCAAAUACGCACAACAUCAAAUUUAGUUAUUAACUCCUUUUUUGUUUCUAUCAGGCCCAACAUAUCCAACCUAAACUUAUUUUUGAAAGACUUUAGCAUACUAACUUUUGCAGCACCUCCCAACCCCCGUAUAUUCCAAGAACUAAAUAUCAUUUAACCAAAUUAUUACACACCUGUUUACGGUUUUUUGGCCGGCUUCUUCGGGCCUUUUCUUUUUGCUUAGCCUACUGCCGUUUGAUAGCAAUAGCUUCAUUUUACUCUUACAGAAUUGCCAUGAUGUCCUCUUCAUCACUGCACUGAGCUCCUGACUCUACAGCUAGUUUUCAAGCCUCUUUGUUCUCAGCCAUCUCCUCCUCCCAACUUGGCCUCUGUUCCUCAGGGUCUAAGUUCCUACCAUCAUCCAAACUAUCUCCUGUCUCUGAACCUGAUUCUGCACUAUUCUCCUUUUCUUCCUCUUCUCCGUUACCAUUUUGAGCCAACCCAUCCAGCAAGAUCUCCCCCUCUUCCGGUCCCAACCCAGGCUUGCCUCGAAUCUGCCGGUCUGCUUCUGCUGUAUUGCAAUUUCUGCUCCUGCCAACAACAUUACCCUGGCCCGUAUCUCCUUCCAUUUGCGUCCUCCUUGACUCGUCCAAGCUACAGGGAAUUCGGUGGGCAUGCAUAGGUUCAGCCUUCAAGGUCAUCUCCUUCCUUAGUUCAUUAUCGUCGAUGGUUGCUGCCACAGCUGAGGUCGAUCCUUCAUCAAGCCCACCCUCCGCUUCCUCCGGUGCGCCCUCCUCUGUCUCGCAGCGUGGUCCACAUCCCUCAUCUGCCCAGUUUCGCGCCUUCCCCCUUGCAACAUUCAUGCGUCCAUGCUCAGGACCCGCGCUUACUUGCCUUCUUCCCUGCCGGGUUGGCACGUCGGAUACACCCCUAGCCUCCGACUCGGUGCGUCCCAGAUCCUGCUCCCCCUCAUGGCGCAUCCCGUCGUGUUCUUCCCAGCGCCAUGGAGCCGUCGUUCUCAAAGGACCCUAAACCAAGGGCAUGGGAUCCUGUCGGGUCAUAGAUGGGACCGGGUCAGACCCAACCCGUUUUGGUGGCCCAGCAUUAGGCCUAGCCCAGCGUGCUGUACUCCUCCCCGAAGAAGCAUGUUUCCUGAUGGUCUUUUUAGGCCUUGUAAUUCCCAGCCCAUUAGCAUCCCUUAUUCCUUCAUGUAUUUGGCAAGUCAAUCCUUCUUCAUAAUUAUUAGAAAUCGUUUCCUCUGAAUCAAUAUCCUUAUUUAUUUCAUAUGAUCCCUGGAAAUCUGUCUUGUCCAUUAAUGCCGCAUAAUUGCCGUUUCCGUCAAUCAAAUUUGAAUUUUUGUGAUUCCAUUCCUUCAAAUCAAGGCUUGAAAUUACCAUUCUAUCCUUAUCUUGUUCUUCGUUUCUAUGUUCUACCAUCAUCAGUACCGCCGCCUGAUCCCAAUCUACGACCCUCCGUUCAGCUCCAUGAUUCAAUAUGCAACCCGAACUUCGAUGCUGCGUCACUUCUAUAUUUAUCAUGUGCCUAUCUUCUGUCUCUUUCGAAAGCAUUCCUCGCGAUACACUUCUCCACCCACUUCUCUUACAAGAACGUCAAACUCGCUUGUCUCUAUUGUAACGUAAAUCCAUUCGUUAAUCAAAUCGAAAACACACGUAUCAAUUAGAACUUCACAAAUAUAUUUGUUCAUUAUACAUAUUAUUAGAAAUAAAUUAUGGCUUUUCAAUAUAUGGAUUACAAGUUUGUAGUGACAUAAAACAUGUGUUUCAAGAUUAGAAAUUCUUCUCAAAUAUACUCUUACAAAAUUUUAUAUCCCGAGAUUCUUAGUCUUAAAUUAAUUUCUAUAGAUUUUCUUCCAUAUUUUUACAUUAUUUUAUAAAUUCUGUAUUUUACAUUCAUAAAGUUUUAUCAUUCUUACAAGUUUAAUUUUAGUCAUUUUAUAUUUUAAGUUUAUUUUUAAUUCCUCUUAUUUACUCUUGCAAUAAGCUUUAUGUUCAAUUAAGUUUUAUUUGCAUUUCAGUAUUUAAUUUCACAAGUUGAUUUUAUUUUAAUUCCUUAGUUCAUCUUUAUAGAUUUCGUUUUCAGAAAUUAUACAUUAAACCAAUCCAGAUAAUUUCACAAUAAUUAAAUUCAGUUUGCUUUGAUUUGUGAAAAAUUUGGAAAACACUUAAUAAUUAAAUUUUAAAAUUUCAAUAUAAGAAUAAUAUCUUUCCAUAAACAAUUACAAAAAUAAACUAAAAUUCAUUGAAACAAAACGAUCACUUAUUUUUUUCUUCAAUUGCAUUUGAAAAAGUAUUGAUAGACAAUGAUAAUACUAAACAAUAUGAACAAUGGAUAUAUUAUAUGUUCAAUUUAAUAGGUAUGCAGAUGAUUAUGUUCAUUAUUUUUAAUUAGAUGAUUAUUUUUUUAUUCGAUUUACUCAUAUAUAAUCAACAAUGGCUGAAUGUUCAAUUUACUAGGUGUGCAGAUGAAAUGUUAAGGUUUAUGAGAUAAUUUGGAGAUGAAAUAUUUUUUUACUUUAUUGGGUCAAUUCUAGAGUCUAUUAUUCACAUUAUUUAUAAAAAUCAUUGUCUAUAUAGUAAAAUCCAUUACAUUGUUUUUCGAUAUUUCUUCUUUCUAAAAUUUUGUUUAUUGAGAAAAGGAAAGCACGGUAAGCACGUGCGACGGUGUAGUGGAACCGCGAUUGGGGGUGUUCGUUCGUUCGUUGGUCAGUGAUGCAAAGAAGGGAAAGGGUGCGUUUCGUUUCGUUUCGUUUUCAUCGCAACAAAACCUCUUUUCAUUUCUUUAUGUAGCUUAAAGAGCCUCGCUCGCUUCUUCAUCUUGUUUGGAGUACACUUCUCUUCUUCUCCGAUCAGGUAUUUUAAACGAUUCCUAUCAAAUGAAAUCUGAUCUUAUGAAACCUACUCUUUGUUUUGUUUUCCAGAAUUUUGUUCCGGGUUUGAUUGUUCAUCUCAAUUUCAGCUUCUUCUGCUGGCAUUCUCGUUAUCUCUGUGCUAUUAUGCUUGUUCCCUGCAGAAAGUUAGAGUUUCCAGUUAGAUUUGUGUGAAAGUAUUAAUUAAGUUGUUUCUUAGUGUGUUUUUCACAAAAGACUGGAUUUCUAUUUGUGGGGUUUUAUUUUUAAUAUUUUAAGUCGUGGAAUAACUAAGAAAACAGGGUUAAUGUAUUUGAUGGUAGGUUGGUGGAUUAACCACUGGAGAAGGGGAAAAAAGAUGGAGUGUAGGGUAUUAGUUACUUCUAUACCUCGUGAUGUUGUUGUUUGGUGAAUAUAUUCCUUCACAUAGUGAUAUAGCUUAUUAGCUUCUGAUUGUGAUCUUAGAUACCAAAGUACUCAUUCAUCUCUCCCCUGAAGUUUUCAUGCUUCUUUCCUUUUGUUUUUCUGGAAUCUUGUUGGAAUCUCCAGUGGAAAGCAUAGCCUUGCAGUAACUGCACGUCUUUGUUAGUUCCUUUUGAGUUUUGCUGCCUUAACAGUUGGUGUAGAAUUGCCACUGCAUAAUGUUAGUGGUCGGGUUUUUGGAGGGUAUCAUAAAACUUUGACACAUUUAUAGGGUUUAUUAUGUCGGAUGUUGGACUUUAAGUAUUUGGGUUGAGCUUGGUUAUGCCACUACUGUAAAUUGGUCCAGAUAAUAUCUUAAUUUGCACUUAGACUGUUUAAAAUGUUUUAGUGAUUUUGAGUUUAUCCUGGUAUGAUAGCAUUAGCUUUUUCUUGUAUGCUUCAGGAUAAAUGAGAUGGCCUCUUCGCAAAAUGUUGAAUUGGAGGCAGCUAAGUUUCUGCACAAACUCAUCCAAGAUUCUAAAGAUGAGCCAGCUAAGUUGGCUACUAAACUCUACGUGGUGUGUGUCAUUUUCUUAUAAACGGACUUUUUUAAUUAUUCCUCGUCACUCCUUAGUUCCUAGUAUGGGUUUAGUAUGCUUGUAACUAACUUGGUAUCUGUUUCAGAUACUACAACACAUGAAAUCAAGUGGGAAGGAGCAUUCAAUGCCAUAUCAAGUGAUAUCAAGGUAGAAUACCUGCAAUAUAUAGUGCUCAAAUAAAUGCAUACAUAGAUAUCCACAGUCAGUUAUUAAUCCCCUUUCUGCUUGAGGUUGAUUUUGACAAUCAUGAUGUUUUUGUGCCUUGUGGGAGUAAGAGUAAGAUGUGGUGUAAGAAUAUAAGGUUUCACAUGUACUCCUUCAUUUAUAAGAUAUUAACUAGCUCUAGCAUGCCUGAGAUGGUAAUAAAGUAAUGGGAAGAUCAUAUUUAUUAAAUUAUUUGUGGAAGUGGGUGGAACUCGGAAAGAUGAUAAGCAUUUGUUGCAUUUUGGUGCCACUUUCUGAGCAGCAUGGCGGGCCUGUUUAUGUCCUUUUAGUGAAUAGGUUUGAGUCAUAUACUCAUGCACGAUGCUGAAGUAGCUGAGGGUUUAACAACCCAAGUUUUUCUGCCUAACAACUUAAUUUGUUUAUGAUUUUAGUUCAUGACAGUGUUAUUGAUUCCGUAACAAGUGGUUAGAAGUGUGAUCCUUUCUGUUCUCACUCCUAUUAUGUUCAAUUUACAAGGGGAUUUUCAUGCUUUUUGUGCAAGGUUUAUAUAGGUGUUGGUUGCUGAUUUCUUAUUUCUUUUUGUGGAUUCCUUAUCUUCUUUUAUACUGUUAUCUUGCCUUGUCGUCUAAUAAAUUUUCGUCCAACUUAACUUGUCAUUGUAGGGCAAUGGAGACUGUCAUCAAUCAGCAUAAUCUUGAUAUUGAAGCAUUGAAGUCUUCACGUCCUCCUUCUGGUGCUGGCAGUUCUCAAAUAGGUAGUUUUUUUAUAUUUUCAUGUUGCAGGAAAAAAGUUCAUAAUAAUUUCCCUGUAGGUUUUGAUGUUAUCGAUUGUAACUUGUGCAGGAACUUCACAAGCAGUGGGUGUUGCUACGGAUUCAAGAGCAGCGUUGCCUGAAAAUGUGAUGCCCAAACUGGAUUCCUUCGCUUCUGGCCGGCCCCCAGUUUCCCCAAGUAGUGGAGCACCUGAUCACUAUCAAGGAUCUGCGGCUCAGAGGAGUGGUCAGUCUUUUGAUCAUGGAAGUCCGUGUAGUUUAGAUUCUAGGUCUGCUAACUCACAAUCACAUGAUAGACGAGAUACUACUAAUUUGGACAAACAGGUGAAUCAAAAGGAUGGUAAAAAAGCUACCUCAAAGAGAAAGAGGGGGGAUACAUUGUCACCUGCAGAACCACACGUUGACAUUCCUUCUCGUCUUGAUCAGCGAAAUACUGCUAAUACGAGGAAGGGUAAAAUGACCAAGGCUGAGUCAUCAGAUGGUCUUCCAGUUAGAAGUGGAGAGCUGACUAACUUUAACAGGGUUCCAAGUAGUAGUCAAAUGCAAAGGGCCAACCAAGAAGGCCCAACAAAGAUUGGCAAUCCAGUGCCAUGUGCUCCGAAUUCUAAAUAUCCAGAAGAUACAGAGGUUUCCUCUGCUCAUAUUGCUUCUGGUAAACUUCAAGGUGGUUCUCGUUAUGUAUACAUGAUUUAAGUUGUUUGACUCAAAAUGAAUAUGUAAGCUUUUGAAACAUCUCAGAUUCCCUUGUUUUCUUUGUCUUGUUCCUGAUGAUGUGAUGGACAAAAAUUCCAACUUAUCUGUUAAUGCUCCCCUUCCCAGGUUCAAGUAAUGGAUUUGUCAAUUGUGCUAGGAUCAUUGUGUAUAUAGAUGAACCUCUGUUCUUGGGUUUGAGAUCUGCACAGAGUUUGAAUUAUUUAUGCAUAAAAUAGCAGUGUCAACUACAGAAGUUAGUGGAAAACAAUGAAGAUUAACGAGUUUAUGCAUAAAUAUAAACUAUGGGAAUCCAAGAAUUUAAUAGAAUACAGUUUUUCUUAUUAUUUUUUAUUUUAUUUUAUUUCACUUCUGUGAUGAUGACAGUAGAGCCUUCUAUGUUUCUCGGAUACACUUUUCCUUUUCUUUUUUUAAGUUCUUGGAGUGCCAAAUUACUGGUGGAAAAUGAAUUAGGAAAAUAUCUGUUUUUACUUGUAUGGUAUAAUAAUUACAUGAUCAAUUUUUCUAAAUUUCAGGUGCUCAUCCUAUGGUUCAUGGAGGGAUGGGGGUUGCCACUAGUGCAUACGCAAUGACUGAAUCAGUUCUCUCAAGUUCAAUGCGGCAUGGUGGGAUGCUUGGGCAUGAUAGUGGAAGUUCUACUACUUCUGCUGAUGAACAUAAAAUAGGCCAGGUAUUUGUCGUAUAUAAUGCUGGAGCUCAGGAUUUCUUACUUAUAUGAUGGGGAAGUAUGUCCUACUUAGCUCACUUGCAUGGAAUAUCUCCCUUUUUGCUCCAUUUUUUCUGAUCAAUACAUGUGUAAUGCCUGUUCAACCCCAUCUAUCACGCCAGAUUUUUGGAAUUGAUGUUUCAACUAGGAAUCUCUAUUAUUACUGUUUAUUUACUGGACAUGGUGCCUUUUUGUCGUUUUGAAACUUAGAGGUGGAAAAAUAAAAUAAUAAAUAAAGAAGAUAGUGGCUUUAAUAAUUGCAAUAGAGAUGAACAAUUAAAUGUGUCCUUAGUUUCACGUUAUUGCCUGACAUUAAUUUUUUUUUCUUCAUAAUGACUUGAAGCUUUUCUCUUUCCAUUUUAUUUUUAUUUUUACUCGUUGCUAUAACUUCUAUAAUCAUCUAAAAGGUUUUUUUAUUUUUUAUUUUUUAUUUUUAUAUAUAUAUAUAUGGUGUAUAUGAGUCAAGUUGAUUGCUUUACCAGAUAAUUUUAUUGACAGACUGACAGGCAUAGUAGUAACUCAGAAAUGACUAUGCUUAGACAAGGAGUUCCUCCCAGGAAUAUGGCAAGAUCCACAGUCAGUGAAUCAUCUGGUGUGCCUUUCAAAGAACAACAGUUGAAACAGCUCCGAGCUCAGUGCCUUGUUUUUCUAGCAUUUAGGUAAAAACGUAACUUUGCUACCACUGUUUAAAUAUGAAAAGAUCGAACUAAGUUUUAUUAUGUUUCAUAUAUUGUUUUGAAUGUGUAGAAAUGGUUUAGCACCAAAGCAACUACAUCUUGAAAUUGCUCUUGGAACCGCAUUUUCUAGAGAAGGUGACUGGUAUUUAUUUAAUUGUUAAGUAAUAAUUUAUUUUCGUCGCCUAACUGGUAGCUGAUGGGAAGAUAUAUGAUGGAAAUACAGGAAAGGAUCAUACUGACCACAAAGGAAAGUCACAAUCUUCUGUUGAAUUGGGUACCUCAUCAGGGGUCAUGAUGCCUUUUGGAGGUCUGAACAAUAUGAGACAACCUGAUAAUAACUCUUCAGGGUCCCCUUCUGCUGGAAAAUCUCUGGAAGCUACGUCAUUCUCCAAGGGAACUGAGAGUGCAAUAAUGACUGGGGACAAAGGUAUUCUUUCUGAAGAAAGGAAACAUCUCCUAGCUGUCAAAAAAGUAGAGCUUGAAAAGCAAAUUCAAGAAAGAGCUGGUGCACAAGCUUCGUCAGCUACUUCUUUUCAGCAGCAAGAUUCCUCCAGUACAAAGGGUGAUGUUGACAGUGGUAAUCUUCAGGUUGGACUGUCCAACCGACCUUCCUCUGUCAUUGGGCUGAAUAAGCAGAUGAAUCCUGAGAUAAAUGGCUUUACCGGAUUCGCUAGUUCUGAUGAGGCUUCAGAAGGACCCUCGCAAGUCUCUUCUCUUCAGCAUGAGUUGCCAAUAGAAAGAAGAGACAAUGUUGUUAAUCAGUUUCAAAAUAGUGGUGGUUCUCGAAACCAUCAUUCUCUAAACCACUUGACGUAUGCUUUGAAAGAGCACUGGAAACCUGUUCCAGGGACUGGCAUUGAUCCCCAGGGAGCAAGCUUGAUGAAGGAUGCAGAUUUAUUAGCGAAAAAUGUUUCUUUUUCAGGUAAGACCCUUACUUUUAAAACCUUGGAAUUGAAAUCAGUUUCUUUGAUGAACAUCCUAUUGAUUUCUGAAUUAUUCCUGUGCCAAUAAUUUACACCUUUCUGACAUCAAGUGAAAUUAAUUGCAGAUGGGUUCAAAACAGUUCCUGUUAAUGAUGCCUCAAGACAUGAUGCCACUUUUCCUACGGACAUAGAAGGGAAUGGGAGGUUACCUCCUCCAAAAUAUACAAUGUCAGGAAGAUGGAUUAUGGAUCAGCAGAAAAAGAGGCUUCUAGUUCAGCAAAACUGGGUACAAAAACAGCAAAAAACAAAGCAAAUAAUGACCACCUGUUUCCUCAAGCUAAAGGUUUGUUUUUAACUGGCUUCCUACUAAUUUAGUGUUGAACAUGCUAUUCUUGUGCAUAUGAUCUGUUUCAUUUGUGCACCCUACAAAAUCAGCAAUCAAUUUGUUCGAAAUUAAUAUUGCAUAGAUCUUAUAGCCUGCGGUACAUUAACUGUAAUGCAGGAAAAUGUGAGCUCAUCCGAGGAUAUAUCUGCUAAAACAAAAAGCGUCAUAGAGUUGAAGAAACUUCAAUUAUUAGACCUCCAACGCCGUCUCCGCAGGUACUUGGUGUUCUUAAAUCUUAAAUUGAGUGUUUAAGUUAUCUUUGAUGAUUGAUCAUUGUGACGAUAUCCUUUUAUCUUUUGUUUGCAGUGAUUUUUUGAAUGAUUUCUUCAAACCAAUUACAACUGAGAUGGAACAGUUGAAAUCGGUUAAGAAACUUUUAUUUGGUGAAGAAAUAUAGCUAUAUAGCUUUUUCUUUUCUAAAAUUUUUAUUUUAUUUUUUAUGUUGACUAUAGAAAUAUUACUUUUUAUAUCGUCUCUUAUCUCAAUACUUGUUUUAUUAAUUUAGGGAAAAGCUUGAUGAUGUGUUCAAAAUCAAGAGGGAACGGUGGAAGGGUGUCAAUAGAUAUGUGAAAGAGUACCAUAAAAGAAAAGAGCGCAUUCAUCGUGAAAAGAUUGAUAGGAUCCAGCGGGAGAAGAUUAAUUUGUUGAAAAUAAACGAUGUGGAAGGUUAUCUUCGGAUGGUUCAGGUAGGUUGCUGUACUUAGUAUAUGUUAAUGGUUUCUAGACUUGCAUUGAAGUGCCAAUGCUCAAUAGCUUUUCUCAAUCAUCAACCUCAAUUAUCAACCUCAAUUAUUUCAUUAGGAUGCAAAAUCUGAUCGUGUGAAGCAACUUCUUAAAGAGACUGAGAAGUAUCUCCAAAAGCUUGGUUCCAAGCUACAAGAAGCAAAGACUGCAGCAGGUCGCUUUGAACAUGAUAUUGAUGAGGCACGAUGUGGCAGUUUUCUUGAUAAGAGUGAAUCUACUCUUGAAAAUGAGGAUGAAGGUGAUCAGGCCAAGGCAAGUUUCCUUUCCGAAAUUGCACAUCUCUUUUUUUAUGUUUGGCUAUUAAUAAUUAUAUUGCUUAUUUCUUCCAAAAUUCUGUUCUACAGCAUUAUCUGGAAAGCAAUGAGAAAUAUUAUAUGAUGGCACACAGGUAUAACUUUUGUACUUGCGUUUUCUUAUCAGGUUUAAUAGUUGAGUUUUGGUUUAUUUAUAUUCCCUUACAAAAAUUUAAAACGGAUCUCUUCCUCAAUGGCUUUGUAUUUUCUGUGUUCAAUAAUUUGUAUUCUUUUUUGGAUUUUCUACUCUGUUGAGUAAUUCUUUUGCUCCAUUCUAAGAAAUUUUCUUGCUGCAGUGUAAAGGAGAGCAUUGCAGAGCAGCCAUCUUGUUUGAAGGGCGGAAAAUUGAGGGAGUAUGUUACAUUUACAUUUGGUUUAAUUGGUUUAUAUUUGAAUUUUGUGAGAAUCAAAGCAUGAUUGUUCCAUGCUCAGUAGUUUUUCUUUCAGGGAGAUUUUCUUUGGUUCUUUUGCAUGUUAUUUUUUCCUUCAAGGUUGUGUUUUGAUAGGGGUAAAAGUGAAGGGGUAAAAUUUCAUGGAUGAUCUUGAUAUGUAACAUUGCCCAUGGAGUUCAUCCAUGAAAAGUUUACCCUAGGUAUACCCCUAAGUAAAUUCACCGAAAAUUUUGUUAACUAUGUUGUUUUAGCAAGGCAUUUGGCUUUACAUUUAUUUGUUUUUCAAUUUUCGUCAUUAGGUAUCAAAUGAAUGGCCUGAGGUGGCUUGUUUCCUUAUAUAACAACCACUUGAAUGGAAUCCUUGCAGAUGAAAUGGGACUGGGUAAAACUGUUCAGGUAAUAAUUUAUUUUCUUCUAUUUUUAAAGUUUUUGUUGUGUUAAGGAGUCAUUUGGCACAUCACAUAUUUAUGAGAAUAAGAAAGCUUUUGUAUGAUCUAUGAUCUUAAUGCUCGUUUUUCUGUGGUGUUUUUUUUUUGUUACAAGGUUAUUUCUCUAAUUUGCUACCUGAUGGAAAGUAAAAAUGAUAGGGGGCCAUUUCUUGUGGUUGUGCCCUCUUCAGUUCUACCUGGUUGGGAUUCAGAAAUCAACUUUUGGGCUCCUGAUGUACAUAAAAUUGUCUAUGCUGGACCACCUGAGGAGCGACGUCGGUUAUUUAAGUAAUGGGGCUUUCAAAAAUUGAUAUGCAACUCAAUCUGUUUUGAUACAUUGCCUUGUAUGAUUCUUAUCACUUGUUAUGUGAUUUAGGGACAGGAUUGUUCACCAGAAAUUCAAUGUCCUCCUGACAACAUAUGAAUAUCUAAUGAACAAGCAUGACAGACCAAAGCUUAGCAAAAUACACUGGCAUUAUAUAAUAAUUGAUGAGGGCCACCGCAUAAAAAAUGCUUCUUGCAAGUUGAAUGCUGACUUAAAACACUAUCAGAGCUCUCAUAGAUUGUUGUUAACUGGAACUCCAUUGCAGGUUCACUACUAUUUUAACUGCUAUUGCAGCUUACUUUUUAUUUUGCCUAUAUAUAUAUAUAUAUAUAUAUAUUUGAUUUAAAAAUGGUUUUAAAACAUAUAGUUGAUACUAUUAUUUAGUGCUGGUUUAUUUAUAUUUUCUGCAGAACAAUCUUGAGGAACUAUGGGCGCUACUUAACUUCUUGUUACCUAACAUAUUUAAUUCAUCUGAGGAUUUUUCCCAGUGGUUUAAUAAGCCAUUUGAGAGUGCUGGAGAUAACUCACCAGAUGAAGUAAGCUAUGGAUAAUGUUUUGAUCUAUUGAUAUUUGAAGUCUUCAUGGUUAACUGUCAACCUCAUUAUUCUGUUUGUCUGAUUUCAAACUUAUAACAAGGCCUUACUAUCCGAGGAGGAGAACCUCUUGAUCAUCAAUCGUCUGCACCAAGUUCUGAGACCAUUCGUACUUCGGAGGCUUAAACACAAGGUUCCUUAAUAAGUCCAACUGCCUAAGAUUACUAUGCUACUGCUCCUAAGUUUUGUUUUUCUGCAUACUAAUAUACUAUGAUCUUGUCUUAUUGUUUUAAAAAAAAAAAAAAAGAAAAGGAAUGAUAAUUUUUAUGUGGCUUCUUAUUUUUGUUAUGGUUCAUAUAUUCAUUAAUUCAUUCUUGUUGCUUCUAUGAAAUAAAAUUAUGAAGAUUUACGUAUUCAUCUUUUGGCUACUUAUAUAUUCACCUUUCUUUACUAGUUUCUGGUGGAUGUCUAGUUGUCAUUAUAUAUUUUCCUUCAUGAGAAUCCAAAAUGUUAGAAUUUGAGAGCACCAUAGCUUUCACUGGUUGAGGACAUAUGCAGGGCAUAAGAAUUAUAUUUUUCUCUUACAUUGUGACCUAGGCACCAAGAUGAAACCAAGUUCCUAAAAGUUGUUCUAGUGUUUUAUAACUGUACGAUAUGAUAUUGUAUAGAAUCAGUUUAGGAUUUCAGUAUUGUUAACUCUGAGAAUUGAGAUUUUUUUUGCGGCAUUGCCUUGUUCAAUGAAAUCUUGUCUCUUAAAGUAUGCUAGCUUUUGCAGUCAUUGCAAUCAAGUUGUAAUUGUGUGCAUUUUGAAUUUACUGUAGGUUGAAAAUGAACUUCCCGAAAAGAUUGAAAGACUUGUAAGAUGUGAGGCUUCUGCUUAUCAAAAACUUUUGAUGAAGAGAGUGGAAGAAAAUCUUGGCUCUAUUGGCACAACAAAGGUUUUAUUUUCUUGUACUUUCUGUUCCUUCCUCUCUUUGUCUGUGUGGGUGUGCGUGUUUAAAUGAAAUUUCCUUGGGUGAUCUAAUUGGAGCACUCAAUUAUUAGGCACGGUCGGUGCACAACUCUGUCAUGGAGCUUCGUAAUAUCUGCAAUCAUCCAUAUCUCAGCCAGCUUCAUGCAGAGGAGGUAUAAUCUUAAUUGUUGCCUUAUUGUGUUGCUUUUCAGAGAGGAGUUUAUGUCUUUUGAAUUAUGAUUUCAACCACAAUUUGCUUAGAUUUUAUGAGCUAAAGAAAAUACAAACAUUACACUUACAUUUUCCCUGUGAGAUAUGAAGAUUCGGAGUACAUUGUGUUCCACUUCCACCAAUCACCUAUCUUCGAUAUCAUUUUCUGAACAAUUUUAUGGCUAAACCUGACAACAAAGAAAGCAGGAUCACAAACUUUAAAAAAAAAAGAAAAAGAAAAUAAAAACAUUUCUGUCAGCAAGAUUUGUCUAUAUUCUAUAAUUUCUGACUCUUGAUGAUGCAGCCAGAAAUGUAAGUAAUAAAACACUGUCGGUAGGCUAUAGCCUAUUCUUUUAAAUAGUCUCAUUUAUUUAUUUAUUUUUAAUUGCAUAUGUUUACUUCUCUUUAUACUACAAUUCGACUUUGCUUUUUUUAGGUGGAUAACUUUAUACCUAGGCAUUAUCUGCCCCCAAUUAUUAGACUUUGUGGGAAGCUUGAGAUGUUGGACCGUAUUUUACCUAAAUUGAAGGCAGCAGAUCAUCGGGUAUGGUAUCCUCUAUAACUGUUUCUGAACCACUGUAUUUUAACUCCCUUCAGUUGCACUAUUGUUGUAAGUGGCCAUGUGUUUGGAGAAUGAUGCUUGGUUAAAGUGCCAAACUUCCCUUCCGUUGUUAUUUUUCUGAAAUUUUAAUUUUGCUUUUUUAUUUUUUUGAUAUUCUGCUUGGAUGCUUUUUGGGAUGUUAGCUCUUUGGAUACUGAAUUUGACGUUUCCUUAUUAGUUUCUCUCGAGCAUUGGAACCGAAGUAUUUUUUAUUUAUCUAGUAUUUUGUAUUAGUACAUUGUUUUUAAAAGAAAAAUUUAACUCUAAAUAUUUGGUGUCAAAUAAUGCUGUUACAGGUUCUUUUCUUCUCAACAAUGACUAGGCUUCUUGAUGUUAUGGAGGAAUACUUAACUCUUAAACAGCAUCGGUACCUUCGGCUGGAUGGGCAUACCUCGGGAGGUGAUCGUGGGGCCCUAAUAGACCUGUUUAACCAACCUGGUUCUCCAUAUUUUAUAUUUUUGCUGAGGUAAUUCCAAUAUUUACUUGAGCACUGUGUCUGAAUGCGAAAGAGUUUGAUGAUUGGAUUGGAGGUGAGAAAGGGAAACUUAUUUUUGUUUUAUUCCAAAGGAUAUUUCCACUUAUUCCUUUCUUGCGUAUCUUUUUACCCUAAUUUGGCAAAUAAGGAUACUCUGUUUAAUGGUAAGAAAUUGUUAGGCCAUUGUAUUCACGUUUUUUACCCUAAUUUAGCAAAUGAGGAUUGGCAGUUAAUGAGAUUUCUUUCAUGAUUUCAAGAUAUAACCAUUAGGUCGUAACAAAUUAGGUUCUAUUUUCUUUUCAGAAUGAGAUUUAUCAUUUUAUAUUACCUUCAAAUUUGCUGAUUUUUAUCCGUUGGUAUGUAGCAUUCGUGCUGGUGGCGUUGGAGUGAAUCUUCAAGCUGCUGACACAGUGAUUAUAUUUGACACUGACUGGAAUCCACAGGCAAUUAUAUUUCCUAUAUGAGUUUCUUUGUAAAGUUGUUUGCUUUUUGUUGCUGAUUAUUUAUGAUUGUUUUGGUUGUGGUAUAUGUUCAGGUUGACCUGCAAGCACAAGCAAGGGCUCAUAGAAUUGGUCAGAAGAAGGAUGUUUUAGUACUUCGAUUUGAAACAGUUAGUACUUUUUAUCUCUUUUACUGAUGGGUGGAUAAAAUUGUAUAUAUUUGAUUUUGAGAAACUCUAAUAUCAAACAUGAUGAGGAGAUUGAAAAUAUUUGAUUCGUUUAAAGCUUUUUCUCUUGGAUGGAGGAUAUUCUUCUCGUCCCGUUUAUUUGUAUCAUCCUCCCCUUCUCAAUAAUACUCUUUUUUGGUUUAUUCCAAAAAAAGUAGAUUUGAUUUGAAUUGCAAUAUUUUUUCCUGAUUCACAAUAAUAUUUGCUCCUUGCUGUUAUUAAUAGGAUCUUAUACUUUUGUGGUUAUGAUUUUCUUUUUCGGGGUGGAUAGGUGGGUAGUUGUUUAUCUUGCGAGUUAGCAUUAACUAUACUUUUUGUAUGUCUACCACCACCAAUAUUUUAAAUAAUAUCUAGAGUCGUAACUCUUGGUUAUAAUUCCAUUUAAAACCGAUUUUGUUGUCUGUUUCUUUUGGAGUUUAUUCUAUUUUGUUUUGAAAAAGAAGAAAUUUAUAACAUAAGCAAGGGAAAGAUGCAGACAAGACUGCUGGAUAAGAAGAUGGAGUUUAGUCUUUAACCUGACAAUUAUGGGUAUCUGGAUUUUUAGUGAGAUUUAUGACUGGGAAGUAAGCAUACCUGCUGUACAAGGCUAACCUUGGAUCACUGGAAUCUUUAUCUGCAUAUUGUUUGCUGCAUCUUGAUACCAUAAAAUCCGAGAUACACUUCUCAUCUUAAGCAUUGUUUGGAUGAACUUAUCAUUUAAUUGUCUCUGAUGCUAAUAAGGCCACGUUUGUGCCAAUGUGGAAACUAUACUUUAAAUAUUGUGCCAAAUUGUCAUGUUUACCAAAGUAUCUAAUUCCGCAUUUGGUGUAAAAAGGUUCAAACUGUUGAAGAACAAGUCAGAGCUUCUGCUGAGCACAAACUGGGAGUUGCUAAUCAGAGCAUUACUGCUGGGUUUUUUGACAAUAAUACAAGGUUUGACCUCAUACAUUUGAUCUUUAGUUCAUCACAGAAUUUGAAUCAGCUCUGAAGUUUUAUUUUGCCUAUGUAUUACAGUGCUGAGGACCGAAGAGAAUACUUGGAAUCCCUCCUGCGUGAGUCUAAGAAAGAGGAAGCGGCACCUGUAUUGGAUGAUGAUGCUUUAAAUGAUCUCUUAGCACGCAGGUACUUGAUUUCUUGAAAAUUACACCAUUUUCUGUCUCUGAAUGAUAUUUCUUGAUUCAUCGGAUAAUAAAUUGGGUUUAGGAUUUGCUCUUUCUAGGUUGUACUAUAACUUGGUUUGCUUAUUGGGAAUGAUUAGAAAUCUUGGCAAUGUGUUUGCAAUCAUGUCAAUGACCAACCCCUAAAAUCCUAUUCUUAUCCAACAGAACUUUUUGAACUGCUAAUAAGUUAUGCUCCCUGAUUUAUGCUUGUCAUUCCAUCAUUCUACUCUUUCCUUUGUUUGCUGAUUUAAAUGUAUUGUCUAAAUGCAAAGAUUGCACUAUGCUAUCUUAGGAUCUUUUAGCUUAACCCAAGAAGUGUUCUUUUAUGAUUGCAUUUGAAGCCCAGUUAUAUGCUUUGCUCAUUUAUGUUAGCAGUUUAGCAACAUAAUAGCUUUAUUGUUUAGUUACUCAAUACUUGAUCUAUUCUCUUCUUUGUUCCUCCUCUUGUGCACACUAUGUCAAAAGGCGGAACGAAGAGGAAAGAAAUUUGAGGGGUUUACUUAUCAAUUUAUUUUAAAAUUCUUGUUGGCAGUGAAGCAGAAAUAGAUGUGUUUGAGGCUGUUGACCAAAAAAGGCGCGAAGAUGAGAUGGUACGCGAUUGUCUAUUUUUUGAGAUCUUCAUUUGAAUAAUUAUGCUUUUACUUUUUGUGACAGAAUCUUGAUUUCCAUGGGGGUUAAAAAAAUCAUUGCAGGCUACAUGGAAGAAGUUGGUAUCUGGGCCAGCAACUGAUGGUUCUGAGCCUAUUCCUACCCUUCCUUCACGUCUAGUUACAGAUGAAGACUUGAAACAAUUCUAUGAAGCGAUGAAGAUAUCCGAUGUGUCCAAGGAUGAAGUAGCAUCUAACGGAAUCAAGAGGAAGAGUGGAACUCCUGGGAGCCUUGAUACUCAACAUUACGGAAGGGGAAAACGUGCAAGAGAGGUUUCUCUAUAUAUUCAAUUAGUCAAUUUAAUUUUUCUGGGUCAUAAAUGUGCUGUGUGUUCCCCUUUUGCUCUUAACCUUUUAUUGCAUAAACAUGACCUACAUCGCUAUAACCCCAUGCAUAUCCCCUUUGGGGAUUCUAGUUGAAACAUGAUGUAGAAAACUUCAUUCCCUGGUCACCUGUAGGAAUAUGUUUUAAAAGCACCUAAAAAACAGAAGGAAAAUGAAGUUGAAGAUGUAGGUUUAUAUCCUGGUGUUGUGUGGUAUCCUAGUAUUGAAUAUCAGCUACCACAUUCUAACUUCUUAUUGCCUUUUCCAUAUGCCUUUCAUAGGUGCGUUCCUAUGAAGAACAAUGGACAGAGGAGGAGUUUGAUAAGAUGUGUAAAGCUGAAUCUCCUGGAUCACCGAAAGUAAUGGAAGAAGUGAUAGAGUCAAAUUGCAAAACAAAUGCUUCUAGCUUUGCUGCAACUGCUUCUGUCACGGAGACUGCAGUGGUGCCUCCGGUGGCCCCUGUAACAUCAUCUCUUGGGAGUUUGCCUGUGCAUAAAGUCAAAGAUAUAACACCACCUGCUAAACGUGGACGUGGCAGGCCAAGAAGAAUAACCUCAGAUAAGUUGCCUGUAACUGCAGUCCCUCUGGCUACUUCUGUAACUGUUGAAGUGGACAUGCAGGUAAAGGAAGGGACUUUGCUUGGUCAAGUAGUAUCGUCAACUCCCGAAUCUAUUUCUCAUUCUUCUGAAGUUAUUGGUGUGAGUGGACCUGCACAGCAGUCUGCUACUGGUGUUUCUCCUAAUCUGACAACUCCACCCAACUCUCAAGCAGAGGGUACUACUGUUUCUGUGCCAAUACAAACAAGAGGACAAGGCCGGAAAUCUCAAGGUGGAGGGGAGGCAACUAGACGUAGAGGGAAGAAGCAGGUUCUAGUGUUGUCUCCUGUACCUGGGGUUUCUAUUGGUCCUGAUUUAAAGAUGAAUGAGCAGUUGGAACACAAACCCCUGAAUCCAUCUGCUGGUGAAGCUAUCUCCCAAGGUGACACUGUUUCCUCCAGUGCUACAGUACAACAUUCAAGUACAGAACCGGGUUCUGUGACUUUAAGCAGUGGAGGUGAUAAUAAAUCUGGUGUUGGGAUUGCUCUGAGUUCUCAGCAGCCCCUUCCUUUGUCCUCUGUUACUCCUGUGCCUCAAACUGUUCCUACUUAUCCUUCUGUACCUAUACAAAAUGAUGGGCAACAUCAGAAGCCUCAAAAUGGAUCAGGAGCUCCCCGACGCAGGGGAAAGAAAAAAGCAAUGGUAUUGCCUAUUCCAGAUGUUUCAGGUAGUCAGAAUUUGCACCUUACUUCCAAUUUACAAAGCUCAUCAGGCAAUAUAUUACAUGAUAAAGCCACGGAGUUGAAAAGCUUGCAAGAUAGCCUUGUUCAGGAAUCACAGAGUGUUGUCCAAGAUCAUGCAUCACAUAGUAUUGGUGAUAAGGAUUUAAAAUCAACUGAAGUAUCUGGUGAUAUAGCCAAUAAGGCAUUGGUUGAAUCAACAACUGAAGAUAAUACCAAAAGAUCUCCUGGUGAGUAUAUUUUGAAUGUCAACAUUUUAAUGUUUACAUUUUAACGUUCAUACAGAAAAAGGCUUAGGAUGUGAUCUAAAGAAUUUAUACUUUUGCAGGGUUGGAAAUAGAGAAGGUUCAGAAUUCUGAUAUGCAUGGUUCUGCUUCCAUCCAUUUAUCCAAUACCCUUGUUCUGGAGAAUUCAAGGAACAAAAGUUUCUGUGGCUCAACCUUGCCUGUUACAGAGGUUACAAGGGACCAACAAUUGGAGGCGAAAACUCAUCACUGUGAUGAAGCUUCAAAACCUGAUACUUUUCCAGUCCAUUCUACAAAAGAAACAAAAGGAAGUUCUAACAAGGCUGUAGAACCUAUGGCUGCACAAGCAGUUCCCAAUGCAUCAGACAAUGCUUAUCCUUCCAUAUCAGGCUCUGAAUCCAUUCAGCCAUGCCCACCUGAAUCCAUGCCAGUUAAAAGGCAAGGCCGUAAAACUCAAAAUAGAGUGGAGCCACCCCGGCGUAGGGGGAGAAAAUCAUCUUCGGCAGCUCCUGUUGUUUCUGAUUCCCUUGCUAACCAGGAUCCUAAUUUAAAUAAUGAUUUUCAGAAGUCAUCAGUAGAAUCAUCCGUGGGUAAAGUCGCUACAGAUGUCGCUCAAGCUCAAGCAUUUCAGAUCCUUUUGCCCAGUGGAGGCGCUGCUCAUGAUUUAAACACAAAAGAGGGAGCUGCCAUUUCUUCUCUAAACAAGCAGCAAAAAGUUGCACCAGGAAGGGUUGAUAGUGCACCAGUAUCCUCAGAUAAGAUUACUGCUUUUGGCCGAAUGCAAAAUGUCAAUGAUGUGGCUAGGGUUAUGAAAGAAGUUUUCUCUGGAACCUGCUUGCCAAAGCCUAAAGCAGCAGAUUCUGCUGCCGGCGAACUCUCAAAAACUAAUACUACAAUUGAUUCCAUGAAUACCCAGUUGAAUGCUGAUAAAGCAGGUUAUGAUAUAACAAAUGCGGAAGCAGCAUGUCUAACUCCAGGCAUUGCUGUGAACAUACAAGAAAAACAAUCAGAGGGGGAAUUCAAUAAUCAGAAAUUGGAGGACAAAGCAAGUUCAGAUAUACCAAAUACUGGAGUAGUGGAUGUCUCCAAUAACAUGUGUUUGCAGGAUAAAGCAGGUAAGGAGCUUGACAAGCAAUCUGAAGUAUCUGACAUGCAGAUUCUUGAGAGCAAAGAAAAUUCCGAUAUGCCAACUACUGGAGCAGUGAACAGAAAUGAAAGACAAUUAGAGGAAACAUCCACUACUCUGUAUCUUGAAGGUAAAGCAGCGUCAGACAAGCCAACUACAGGAGUAGUGGAUGCCUUCAAUUUUCAGUGUUCAGAGAAUAAAACUGAUUCUGAUAUGUCUGCUACUGAAGCAGAAUUUUUAAUUUCAGACCUUCCAGUGAAUACGCAUGAAAAGCAAUCUGUGGAAGCAUUGAAUAUUCGGAAUCUGGAGGAUAAAGCAAGUUUGGAUAUACUAACUACUGAAGCAGCCUGCCCAGACUUGGACCAUGCGGUUAACAAAUAUGACAAGGAAGUAAUGGAGGCACCGAAUAUUCAGAUUUUGGAGGAUAAAGUGAAUUCCGAUAUGCCAACUGCUGGAGUAGUGGUUACAUCGAAUGACCAGUUUUUGGAGGAUAAAGCUGGAAUGGAUGAACCUACUUCUGGAGCAGCUUGUCUAACUUCAGAUCUUUCAAUUAAUCAGUGUGAACAAUUGGAGGAAGCUUCCAGCAUUCAGAAGCCGGAUGUUGAAUCAAGUUCAGAUGUGCCAGCUACUGGGGGAGUGAGUGCCUCCAAUAUCCAAUGUUCAGAGGAUAAAGCAUAUUCUGAGAUAUCAGCUGGUGAAGAUGGAUGUACGACUGUGGACCUUGCAGUGAGCGGGAAAGAAAAACAAUCAGAGGAGGAAUCCAAUAUUCAGAAUCUGGGGAAUAAAAUAAGUUCGGAUAUGCCAACCACUGGAGCAUUGUGCUUGACUCCAAUCAUUCCUACAGAUGGGAAUGUGCAGCUGUCUGGGCCUCCAUCUGAUCAAGAAAUAACUGCUUUGAAUGAGCCCCUACCUAGUGCUAUGGAGGUUGACACCCCCAUUUGUGAUGAUAUCAAAGAAAAGCAAGACCAUAUUCAACAUUGUACUAAAACUUAUUCUAAUCAGAGUGAAGUGGAGGCUCUUGAUGCAACUCCACUUAGUUCUGCAGUAAGGACUGAGUGUCUGUCUGAAUCAUGUACAAAGUCUUCACCUCUUGCUUCUUCUGGUGAAAAUAUGUCUGAUCAACCACAAGUGAUCCCAUCCUGCCCUCUGACUCCCACCGUUUCUAAGGAAUUGGUAAAUUCUCCUAUUUCUGAAUCUUGUGAAAUCAAUUACAGAAAUGAAGUCAAUUGUUCAAUGCAAGAUUCUGAUUUGCUGGAGCGAGAGUCUCAGAUGACAGUUGGAAAUAAUUCUCAAAAUGCAUUAGAACUUGUUAUAGAACAAAAUGCUUUAUCACCUUUGGAAACGGAGGCCCCCAAUGUUGCAUUAAGUGGGAAGUAUUCAGAUGCUUUAAAACAUGCUGAGUUGCAUGAGAAUCCAUUAGUUAAGAGCUGUUCACAAUCCCUCUCUGAGGGGGAAAUGAACAUGGGGGAUUCCAUAUGUGAACAACCUGUCUCUGCUGUUGAUAAAUCUUCUAAUAUUGACCCAGUUCCCGAGGAAAAUGUGAUAUCCCCAGCAGCUAUUGGCGAUACCAAUGUUGAUUCUUCUGAGGUUUGCCCAAUGGACAUUGUCACAUCUGUGAGUAACCAAGUUACAAUUGUGCAGGACAAUGAGGUUGUGGCAAAGAGUUCUCCACAGAAUGUAGAUACGUUCUCAGCAGAUGAGGUGGAAAAAAUCAUAGAUCAAUCUCCUGAUGAACCUGUUGAUAGGUCAGUCUUACAACAAACAUCAGGGUCAAAAGCUGUGGCCAAUUCUUCAGUGGAUGCUUCUCAGUCUGUCCUUGUGGAAGAGAGAACCAUAUCUGAAACUGCAAUUUUACCCUCGUCCUCUUUUAGCAUAGAGGAUAACAAGGUGUCAUCCAAAACCUGUGCAAUUAGUAACUCUGAAACUCUGGAAGAGGCAAUGGAGGAGGGUGCGACUGACCGCUCUGAAUUCCUGCCCCCAGAGAAAGGUGCAGAGGAGAGCUGUAGGAAUGCCACUGAGGUAAGCCUUGUUGCUCCUACUAGCAAAUCUAAUAGAUACAUUAUACCUUGAAAUUCAACAAAAAAAAAUUUCUGCAGGUUCCCUCUACAGUUCCAGUGCUGCUUCAGGAAUCGAUUGAUUCUGAAGGUGACCACCGUGAUCAAGGCAAGUCACAGGUUGAUUCCUCCUCUACACAACAUCCAAAUCUUGUGUUGGUCUUACAUGUCAGUAGUUUUGUGUUAGUUUUAAGGUAAUUGCAUGACAACAUUCUGUGUGUACCAGGUUGGUGGGAUACCUGAAAAUCAGGAAACUGGAAUGCUUGCUGCUCCUAAAACAUCUGAGGGGGGGAAUGAGGUUGAGACCUUUUCUGAUAAAGGUCCACUAGGAUCAUCUGAUGCAUUGGAUGAAUCAAAAGGAUUAGCUGAUAUGGAGAAUCAGACAGAAGCCAUUCAGAACCAUGCUGCUGAAAUUGAUGUCCCAUGCACAUCUGCAUCAGGGGACAAGGCCGAGGGUGAACCUAAAGGAUUAGCUGAGAUGGAUGUCCCGUGUUUGUCUGCAUCAGGGGUUAAGGCCGAGGGUGAAUCUAAAGAAGUAGCUGAUAUGGAGAAUCGGGCGGAAGCCAUUCAAAACUGUGCUGCUGAGAUGGAUGUCCCAUGUACAUCUGCACCAGGGGACAAGGCCGAGGGUGAAUCUAAAGGAUUAGCUGAUAUGGAGAAUCUGGCAGAAGCCAUUCAAAAUUGUGCUGCUGAGAUGGAUGUCCCGUGUGUGUCUUCACCAGGGGACAAGGCCGAGGGUGAAUAUAAAGGAUUAGCUGAUAUGGAGAAUGAGGUAGAAACCAUUGAGAGCUGUGCUGCUGAGAUGGAAGUGUCAUGUUCCUCUGCAUCAGGGGACAAGGCAGAGGGUGAGAAUGCUUUAGUUGGCACCAAGGAAAAAAUUCUGGUGUCAGAAGACACUGAAGCUUUUGCAGUUGAUGAAACAGAUGUUUCUAAUGGCAGUCCAGCUGUGCCCGAAACAGCAUCAGCCAAUGGGGCUCCACUUCCAUGUUCUUCGCUGAGAGUGGGUGAACCUUUGGUGGGGCAUGAUACUAAAGGAACUGAAACUGGUGUCGCCAACCAUGAUAAUCAAGCCAUACGGCAAAAUGCUCUGAAAGAUGCAGAAGAGUGCUCUUCUUCUGCAGCCGCUGACAUAAUUGAAAAGAGCUCACCUCAGAAGGAUGUCAUUGAAUCUUCUCCGUUGCUGCCGCUGGAAACAUCUGUUGAUGGGGUUCCACCUCCAUGCUCUUCAGUUGCUGAGGGCGAACGUGUAGAGAGUUUGUCAGAUGAGGCUUUGGUUGAUUCUGCUGUGAAGCUUGGUACUAAAAAUUCUGAAGCUUCCCAGGAUAAUCUAGUUUUGCAAGAAAAUGCAUUGAACGAAAUGGAAAAAACCCUUCCUUCAGCAACUGAGGAUAGAGUUGCAGUGUGCUCACCUGAGAAGGAUAAUUUAACUGCUUGCUCAGAAGCACCCCAGGAAUCUGAAAAGUCUGAAAAUGUGCAGAACCGGUCUGAGGAAGAACCUGGCCAGAGU